UAUAAACCACCAUUUUCAUCAUCGAUUGC
RNAcentral lists this non-coding RNA (29 nucleotides) under Bombyx mori (domestic silkworm). Lineage: Eukaryota; Metazoa; Arthropoda; Insecta; Lepidoptera; Bombycidae. The record is from RNAcentral.